RNAcentral lists this ribosomal RNA (483 nucleotides) under uncultured bacterium. Its description in RNAcentral is "partial 16S ribosomal RNA". It matches the Rfam family "Bacterial small subunit ribosomal RNA", at positions 28 to 507 of the family's 1533-position model. The record is from RNAcentral.
GACGAACGCUGGCGGCGUGCUUAACACAUGCAAGUCGAACGCUGAAGCUCAGCUUUUGUUGGGUGGAUGAGUGGCGAACGGGUGAGUAACACGUGAGUAACCUGCCCCCUUCUUUGGGAUAACGCCCGGAAACGGGUGCUAAUACUGGAUAUUCACUGGUCUUCGCAUGGGGGUUGGUGGAAAGGGUUUUUCUGGUGGGGGGUGGGCUCGCGGCCUAUCGGCUUGUUGGUGGGGUGAUGGCCUACCAAGGCUUUGACGGGUGGCCGGCCUGAGAGGGUGACCGGUCACUUUGGGACUGAGAUACGGCCCAGGCUCCUACGGGGGGCAGCAGUGGGGACUAUUGCCCAAUGGGUGCAAGCCUGAUGCAGCGACGCCGCGGGAGGGAUGGAGGCCUUCGGGUUGUGAACCUCUUUCGCUAAUGGUCAAGCCGCAACAAUGGUUGUGGUGAGGGUAGUGGGUAAAGAAGCGCCGGCUAACUACGUG